This 465-nucleotide ribosomal RNA is filed under the name uncultured Klebsiella sp. Its description in RNAcentral is "bacterial SSU rRNA". It matches the Rfam family "Bacterial small subunit ribosomal RNA", at positions 338 to 795 of the family's 1533-position model. The record is from RNAcentral. Lineage: Bacteria; Pseudomonadati; Pseudomonadota; Gammaproteobacteria; Enterobacterales; Enterobacteriaceae.
CCUACGGGGGGCUGCAGUGGGGAAUAUUGCACAAUGGGCGCAAGCCUGAUGCAGCCAUGCCGCGUGUGUGAAGAAGGCCUUCGGGUUGUAAAGCACUUUCAGCGGGGAGGAAGGCGUUAAGGUUAAUAACCUUGUCGAUUGACGUUACCCGCAGAAGAAGCACCGGCUAACUCCGUGCCAGCAGCCGCGGUAAUACGGAGGGUGCAAGCGUUAAUCGGAAUUACUGGGCGUAAAGCGCACGCAGGCGGUCUGUCAAGUCGGAUGUGAAAUCCCCGGGCUCAACCUGGGAACUGCAUUCGAAACUGGCAGGCUAGAGUCUUGUAGAGGGGGGUAGAAUUCCAGGUGUAGCGGUGAAAUGCGUAGAGAUCUGGAGGAAUACCGGUGGCGAAGGCGGCCCCCUGGACAUAGACUGACGCUCAGGUGCGAAAGCGUGGGGAGCAAACAGGAUUAGAUACCCGGGUAGUC